Molecule: long non-coding RNA, 837 nt
Filed under: Setaria italica (foxtail millet)
Lineage: Eukaryota; Viridiplantae; Streptophyta; Magnoliopsida; Poales; Poaceae
Description: long non-coding RNA (SITA_LNC005440)
Source: RNAcentral
UUUGUUGUAAAAGUUGGCCUCAUGAUAGCUUAAAACUCCUGCUGGUGUAGAAUCGUGGCUUGCACGAGAUAUUUUAUGACAAAAAUCUGGGCUCUUGAUUUUCAAAUGGCUUUUAAAAAGAUCGCCAUGAGCUCCGGCGGUGCCGCGUGGAGGAAUUAGCGCCGCCGCGAUAUUAGGGCAGAGACAUCAUCAUCCCCUUUUCCUACCUGUAUCAUUUUCUUCGCAGCAUCUCUCUUCUUAUUCAACAGGAAAGAAACAAAAACGCCAGGAAUAUCUCGUACAUGCGUGCCACAUGAUCUGCCGAGAAUUUGCUUCGUGAGGCGAAAAAUUCUCUGCUCCAAAAUCCAAAUCCUUUUCUGUCCUUGACCACCGUCUUCAGUGCCCAUCACGCAGCCCGAGUAAUUCACGAGCGUGCCUGAAAAUUUGCAAACCGUUGGAUUCUGAAACUUCCAUAAAUCCGUGCUUAUGGAAGUGGUAAAACAAAUCUGAGUUUACUCACCGGAGCCGUACCGGAACGAUUCCUUCCGUGGAAUCCCGGCAUUGCCUGCUUCAACGCCGAUGCAAGUGCGGGGUACUUAGUCGCAGAUCACGAGGCUAAUUAAUCGAUCAGUUUAGUGAUCAGUGAGGCUUGCUUUGCCCUCACUUCGCUGGAAGCACAGCAUUAUUCGGCACCGGCAGUGACGGACGAAGAGGCGCCUUUCCUCUCCCCGACAAAGCGACGGGGGCGCUGCCAGUGCUGGAUGCGGGGAAUCCAGGGGCAGGAUGGGCUCCCACGUGUACGGACCGGCCAUAUCGGACGGUGGUGAGGUACUCUGGAGUCGAGCCAUGACACCGGCA